GGUGGGAACGCACGACCGCAAAUCUGACUCGCCGUCUACUUGGGCGGCUUGGGAUUGCGGGAGUGU
The submitters of this non-coding RNA (66 nucleotides) gave its source as unclassified sequences. The record is from Rfam.